AUUAUUUAAUACAUUAAAUUUUAUUGUUAUAUUUAUAAAUUUGUGUCUUCAUUCCAUGGGGCUUCCAAUACUUUAGACUCUGAGUGCCACUUACUCACGUGCCUAAAUCUAAAUGUAAGUUCUUUUCGAUUAAAAUAUCUAAAAAUACGUGUUUGGUGUGAACGCGCAAAUUGUCACAUCUGAUAUCGGAAAAAAUCCUGACUUAGCUGUUUCCGCUCGGCAGUUAAACUCUUUCCUUCUUAAAUUACCGACCGCGAGCCCAUAGUUGGUAUCAGAAAUGGGAUAGUACGACUAAAGGUCCCGCAACAGGAGAUAAAAAUCUUUUUUCAAAAAAUUUAUUAAAUUGCGUUUAUAACUAAAUAGAGUACGAUGGCACAGAUUCAGGAGAGUAGAUUUGGAGGAUUGACCCUGCCAACUUUCAUUUUGGCGAAUUUGGUCCUCAAACCAGGGUGUUCUUUGUUCAGUUUGAGAGCAUUGCUCAUUUUCUUCAGUAGGGACCUGGAAAAAGAUUAUGCCGCGCCUUUGCCAGUAUGUCGGGCUACGCUCGAGACUUUGCUUCUUCCGUUAUUCAGCACGGGCGAAUAAAUAUCUAUGCUCAAUUCAAAUAGGUGAUGACGAGUUGGUUCAAUCCUGAACCAAUGCCGGAACCGCCUUACCAAAUCUGUUGGUGUUUCAGCUGAUAGGAGAGUCAGUCGAGCAAUAUAUUAAACGCCUCUUGUAUUUAGUGGCGAAUAAUUAACUUGCUUCUAUCACUAGGUCCAUAUCGGCUAUCGAGCUGGAAAUGAAACUCAUUGCACAUUUUUUAGCCGGUCUCACCCCUCAUAUCUGUCGCGCAGUAUAUGCAACUUAUCCUUUUUCAUUUCAAGAAGCUUCGCGACAGCUCUGAGGAUGAAAAGGAAUUUUAUGACUCGCCCCUGUAGGGAAGAUUCGCUCCUGAGUCCAUUGCUUUCCAUUUCAUCCUUACAGAAUCCAAACCUCAUUCGCGCAGUCUCGAGAGAGAAACUGCGGCGAAAUCGGCCUGGUCGAGCUGCGAGUUCGGAAAUUUAAUUUAGCUUUCUUACAUAUUUCCUUGGGUGUCAGCAAGAGAGCGCUUGGGAUAAGCAGAACAUGUCUCCAAUACUCCUAUGGGUUCGGGGGAAGAAUAGGUCUACCAUGGCGAUCCUGUGGACGGCAAGAGCCCGUCAAAUGGAUUCGUUACCGCCAAAUGGUACAUGACCGCACGAAUCCGAGAUAGAAGGUGAUUUUUUUUUUGGUCAACGGAUGAUACCACUUUCCACUCAGUUAGAGUACUAAGUGGCAUAAGUGCCGGGGAGAAAUAAGCCCUUCCACAGGCUGCCCACCUCUGCGGAAGGGUCAGCCGAAUUGUGGAGGACGGGGAUCGACGGGCCUG
This 1390-nucleotide long non-coding RNA is filed under the name Androctonus crassicauda. The record is from RNAcentral. Lineage: Eukaryota; Metazoa; Arthropoda; Arachnida; Scorpiones; Buthidae.